AUGGCCACGUCCAGCUCCCAAUUCCUUUUCCGGAUGCUGCUUCCAGUCCUCCUUGUAGUCAUCCUUGCCGCCGCGGCCAAAGGGCAGCGCCCGGAUUGCCGCGACAAGUGCGGCAACAUCAGCAUCCCCUUCCCGUUCGGCAUCGGCCCCGGCUGCUUCCGUGAGGGCUUCGAGGUCCUCUGCAACCACUCUCGCGCCUUUCUUGCUGGCAACAAAACAUACAAGGGCGACUCCGAGGGCCAGCUCGAGUGGUCGUGGUCGCUGAUGGAGCUUGCGAGCAUAUCGGUCGCCACCAGCGAUGCACGAGCCUACGCCCCGGUCUCGUACCGCUGCAGCAUGAGUGAGAACACGAGCUCCUCCUUGUCCCUGCGUAUGGAUUUCUCUGGAACGCCGUUCGCUGUGUCAUCCAAGCGUAAUGUUCUCCAGGGAGUCGGCUGGAUAGUUGACGCUCGUUUGAGUUACGAACCUUACUUCUCGGCGGCGGCGGACGGGUUCCCUUGUCAAUACCAAUUCGUGUACUACCCGGAGUGUUGA
Molecule: ribosomal RNA, 534 nt
Filed under: Triticum aestivum (bread wheat)
Lineage: Eukaryota; Viridiplantae; Streptophyta; Magnoliopsida; Poales; Poaceae
Description: partial small subunit ribosomal RNA
Source: RNAcentral